Molecule: long non-coding RNA, 640 nt
Organism: Anthonomus grandis grandis
Lineage: Eukaryota; Metazoa; Arthropoda; Insecta; Coleoptera; Curculionidae
Exons: 3
Source: RefSeq, a predicted model, not a curated record
AGACGAUUGAUUUAUGAGACUUGGACGUUCAGUUUACUUUCUCCCCCCUUUGGUCAUCAGGGUAAAUGGUCCUCCGAACUGGCCCAUAUAAUUCCACCUAGAGCUAUACAUAGAAGGUUCGAUUCAUGAAUAUCGAGUCAAAUCAACUUGAGGCCUUGAAGGGUUGUCAUAGAAUCAACUGCCAAGGAACGACUUUCCCGAACAUUACAACUUGUAGAACUUUCGUAGUACUAGCAUAUUCGUGAUACUCUAAAUGAAAUUUUUAACAACAGACCGACGACCUAAGAAAAGGUGUCUCUCUCUCCGAUCUACUAAGAAACUCGAACGCUUUCAAAUCAACACCUAAAUAUAGUGAAACAUUCGGAUUUUUGUUUUAUUAAAAACAUAUAAAUACGAACCCCCACCAGGCGUGGGAGUCCCGAAAAACAUUUUCGAAAUUUCCACACAGAAAAUCUUCCAGUCACUCCGCGGCUACUCCCGUGUUCGCUUCGGUUCGUUAGUUCAGUUACGAGUGCGCACCCACUCUUCUAGUAAUUCAGUAAUUGUGUGUUAGAAAGAGACAAAUAUGCUCUUCAGUAACCGAAAUCGAAAUAGGCCGCAGCGUCUCUUCUCGCCCUUUAUCAAAAUAAGACCAAGAUUU